UACAACCAUAUCAUGUUGCAACACCGGUUCUCAUAAGAUCACCAAAGUUAAGCAACCUCAAGCUUGGUCAGUACUUGGAUGGGUGAUUGCUUUGGGAAUACCAGGUGCUGUAAG
Acanthosepion pharaonis is the source of this 114-nucleotide non-coding RNA. The record is from the annotation of a GenBank genome assembly. Lineage: Eukaryota; Metazoa; Mollusca; Cephalopoda; Sepiida; Sepiidae.